Molecule: non-coding RNA, 73 nt
Filed under: Tritonibacter multivorans
Lineage: Bacteria; Pseudomonadati; Pseudomonadota; Alphaproteobacteria; Rhodobacterales; Paracoccaceae
Description: Tropicibacter sp. CECT 7557 Singlet oxygen resistance RNA X
Rfam family: Singlet oxygen resistance RNA X
About the family: SorX (RSs2461)like SorY is a singlet oxygen induced sRNA that counteracts oxidative stress by targeting mRNA for a transporter in Rhodobacter. It also has an impact on resistance against organic hydroperoxides.
Source: Rfam by way of RNAcentral
GUCCCGCGCAUAUCCGGGUUAUGAUAUGCACCUCCCUGUUGGACUGGCCGGGCUUAGUCGCCCGGCCUUUUUU